GCAUUGGUGGUCAAUGGUAGAAUUCUCGCCUGCCACGCGGGAGGCCCGGGUUCGAUUCCCGGCCAAUGCA
Molecule: transfer RNA, 70 nt
Filed under: Saccoglossus kowalevskii
Lineage: Eukaryota; Metazoa; Hemichordata; Enteropneusta; Harrimaniidae
Description: tRNA-Gly
Rfam family: tRNA
About the family: Transfer RNA (tRNA) molecules are approximately 80 nucleotides in length. Their secondary structure includes four short double-helical elements and three loops (D, anti-codon, and T loops). Further hydrogen bonds mediate the characteristic L-shaped molecular structure. tRNAs have two regions of fundamental functional importance: the anti-codon, which is responsible for specific mRNA codon recognition, and the 3' end, to which the tRNAs corresponding amino acid is attached (by aminoacyl-tRNA synthetases). tRNAs cope with the degeneracy of the genetic code in two manners: having more than one tRNA (with a specific anti-codon) for a particular amino acid; and 'wobble' base-pairing, i.e. permitting non-standard base-pairing at the 3rd anti-codon position.
Source: RNAcentral